Molecule: non-coding RNA, 30 nt
Filed under: Homo sapiens (human)
Lineage: Eukaryota; Metazoa; Chordata; Mammalia; Primates; Hominidae
Source: RNAcentral
UAAGCACAAGUGUGGUGUUGGAACCCUCAA